This 512-nucleotide ribosomal RNA is filed under the name uncultured bacterium. RNAcentral describes it as "partial 16S ribosomal RNA". It matches the Rfam family "Bacterial small subunit ribosomal RNA", at positions 28 to 523 of the family's 1533-position model. The record is from RNAcentral.
GAUGAACGCUGGCGGCGUGCCUAAUACAUGCAAGUCGAGCGAAUGAUGAGGAGCUUGCUCCUCUGAUUUAGCGGCGGACGGGUGAGUAACACGUGGGUAACCUGCCUGUAAGAUGGGGAUAACUCCGGGAAACCGGGGCUAAUACCGAAUAAUAAAAGAGGAAGCAUUUCUUCUUUUUGAAAGUUGGUUUCGGCUAACACUUACAGAUGGGCCCGCGGCGCAUUAGCUAGUUGGUGAGGUAACGGCUCACCAAGGCGACGAUGCGUAGCCGACCGGAGAGGGUGAUCGGCCGCACUGGGACUGAGACACGGCCCAGACUCCUACGGGAGGCAGCAGUAGGGAAUCUUCGGCAAUGGGCGAAAGCCUGACCGAGCAACGCCGCGUGGGCGAGGAAGGCCUUCGGGUCGUAAAGCUCUGUUGUCAAGGAAGAACAAGUACGAGAGUAACUGCUCGUACCUUGACGGUACCUGACCAGAAAGCCACGGCUAACUACGUGCCAGCCGCCGCCGUAA